This 120-nucleotide ribosomal RNA is filed under the name Notechis scutatus (mainland tiger snake). Lineage: Eukaryota; Metazoa; Chordata; Lepidosauria; Squamata; Elapidae. The record is from RNAcentral.
UAAUCCAUUUAUUUCUGCAUCACUUAACUGACCUUGGCAGAUCUCAAAACAGCUAAGCAGUAUUGGAUCUGGUUGCUACUUGGGUAGGAGACCAACAGGAAAUGCCAGGCUGUAGAUUAC